UACAGAGGUCUCGAGCGUUAGGCGGAAUCACUGGGCUUAAAGCGUGUGUAGGCGGGCGGGCAAGUACCUUGUGAAAUCCCACGGCUCAACCGUGGAACGGCUGGGUAUACUGCCUGUCUUGAGCCAACUAGGGGCGAGCGGAACAGACGGUGGAGCGGUGAAAUGCGUAGAUAUCGUCUGGAACGCCAAAGGUGAAAACAGCUCGCUGGGGUUGUGCUGACGCUGAGACACGAAAGCCAGGGGAGCGAACGGG
RNAcentral lists this ribosomal RNA (253 nucleotides) under uncultured bacterium. RNAcentral describes it as "partial 16S ribosomal RNA". It matches the Rfam family "Bacterial small subunit ribosomal RNA", at positions 524 to 776 of the family's 1533-position model. The record is from RNAcentral.